RNAcentral lists this transfer RNA (62 nucleotides) under human gut metagenome. It matches the Rfam family "tRNA", at positions 5 to 66 of the family's 71-position model. From Rfam's summary of the family: Transfer RNA (tRNA) molecules are approximately 80 nucleotides in length. RNAcentral also lists the same sequence under 1 other name. The record is from RNAcentral.
GCUUGGUUUAAUGGUAGAACAGAGGUCUCCAAAACCUUUAGUGAGGGUUCGAUUCCUUCAGC